GGGGUGUUAGGGCACGACACCGGAGAGGGAGCCUGAGAAACGGCUACCACAUCCAAGGAUGGCAGCAGGCGCGCAAAUUACCCAAUCCCGACACGGGGAGGUAGUGACAGUAAAUAACAAUACGGGGUUCUUAAGGAUCUCGUAAUUGGAAUGAGUACAAUUUAAAUCUCUUAACGAGGAACAAUUGGAGGGCAAGUCUAGUGCCAGCAGCCGCGGUAAUUCCAGCUCCAAUAGCGUAUAUUAAAGUUGCUGCAGUUAAAAAGCUCGUAGUUGAAUUUCGGGACCAAUAUGUCGGUCGUGCCUCGGUACGUACUGGCAUCGUUGGUUUCUCCCUUCUGACGAACCAUGAUGUCAUUUAUUUGGUGUCGUGGGGAAUCAGGACUGUUACUUUGAAAAAAUUAGAGUGUUUAAAGCAGGCUCACGCUUGAAUACAUUAGCAUGGAAUAAUGAAAUAGGACGUUUGAUUCUAUUUUGUUGGUUUCUAGGAUCGACGUAAUGAUUAAUAGGGAUAGUUGGGGGCAUUAGUAUUCAAUUGUCAGAGGUGAAAUUCUUGGAUUUAUUGAAGACUAACUACUGCGAAAGCAUUUGCCAAGGAUGUUUUCAUUAAUCAAGAACGAAAGUUAGGGGAUCGAAGACGAUCAGAUACCGUCGUAGUCUUAACCAUAAACUAUGCCGACUAGGGAUCGGAUGAUGUUAAUUUUUUAAUG
RNAcentral lists this ribosomal RNA (707 nucleotides) under uncultured Glomeromycotina. RNAcentral describes it as "SSU rRNA". It matches the Rfam family "Eukaryotic small subunit ribosomal RNA", at positions 364 to 1076 of the family's 1831-position model. Lineage: Eukaryota; Fungi; Glomeromycota. The record is from RNAcentral.